Molecule: unclassified non-coding RNA, 1555 nt
Filed under: Dendronephthya gigantea
Lineage: Eukaryota; Metazoa; Cnidaria; Anthozoa; Malacalcyonacea; Nephtheidae
Description: nADH dehydrogenase (ubiquinone) complex I, assembly factor 6-like, transcript variant X2
Source: RNAcentral
CGAGGUUGAUGUUGGAUGGUAGGACCGGGUAGGUAGGACCAGUGAACUGGUAGGACCCAUUACCUCUGUCACUCAUCACUGAAGUGCGGGGUUGAGUAACUGGUGAUUGCUACUAUGUUGACCAGAUGUAGUCUCUCAUCCCUUGAUAGAAAGAUAUACCUUUUUAACCUUCCACGGAGGCAUGUAAAAGCAUCCAGAAAACUUGCUGCAUCAGCAACUGGGUAUUGUGUCAACCUUGUCAGGCAAUAUGAUUUUGAAAAUUACCUUUGCUGUCUUUUGGUUAACAAGCAGAGACGUCCAGCCAUAUUUGCCAUCAGGGCUUUCAAUGUAGAGAUAGCAAAAAUAUGUGAUUCUACUACUGUUGAAACAAUUGGUAAAAUGAAGAUACAAUUCUGGAGAGAUACUCUAGAUAGUAUUUUUACAAAGGGAAAUUGCCCUGAUCACCCUGUUUCAAAAAUGCUUCAAAAUGCUGUUGAAGAUUAUAAUCUGUCAAAACAUUGGUUCACCAGAAUACUAGAUGGUCGGGAGGAAAAUUUACAUGACAAUCCAUUUAGUAACAUUGAAGAUCUUGAAAAUUAUGCAGAAAAAACAAUUUCCUCAAUUUUGUAUUUGACACUUGAAGGAUUAGGUGUGAAAGAUACGAAUGCAGAUCAUUGCGCAAGUCAUUUAGGAAAGGCCAUUGGUAUCGUGACUUUAUUACGUUCAACGCUAUAUCAUGCAAAGUCAAGACGAGUGUUGUGGCCAAGCGAUGUCCUAAUACAGCAACAACUUUCUCAAGAAGAUGUUCUUCGUGGCAAGAAUCUUCCCGCAAUCAAAGAAGCCACAUAUCAGUUGGCCAGUCGAGCGCAUGUGCAUCUAAAUAAAGCUAGAGCACUCAGUAGUGGUGUUCCAAAAUUGGGAUUUCGAAGUUUUCUUCCAGCGGUAUCAUGCAACAGUUUCUUGGAAAGCUUACAGCAAGCGGACUUUGAAAUAUUCGAUUCCAAACUACAACAAAGAAACAAUCUUCUUCCAAUAUUACUUCUUCGAGCAAUGUGGAGGGGAACGUUCUAAAAAGAUUUGUAUAAAGAUCUUUCAUGCUCCAUUGUCAGAGCUUUUGUCAGAGCUUUUGUCAGAGCUGUUAUGGUCCAACAUGUCUACAAUAUGAGGCUUGCCAUCAAAGUUUGAAGUAGGCAUGAAUUGCACAACCUUCACUGGUUUCAAUUGUUUGUUGGAUAUCAUAUGAUAUGGAGAAUGAGUUGCAAUUACAACCAAACAAUUACAGUUAAAUCUAUGGAUUUGGCAAAAUGGCCUAGCUCUUACCCUCACAAAUCCUUCUUCAAGACAAGGAACACAUGUUGAGGAUUCCACCCUGGUGAAUAUUAAACAGAUAGCGAUUCAGAAGUUGUACUAGAUUCUGGAGAUCUGCAUGGUAAUGCUCAGACUUGAUCAUCACAAUGAAUCUGGAACUGUUUUGGGAUAAUUCUCAGUCAUACUCCAGAAACAGUUCCUUGAUGCGCUGAAUAUAACCUCGCUAUCUCCAGCUCUCUGCCACAACUUUGGAAUGGUCAUAAAAGCA